GUGAAGUAUCUCAAUUGGUUAGAGUGUGUGGUUGUUAACCAGAAGCUCAAAAGUUCAAAUCUUUUCUUAAACA
RNAcentral lists this transfer RNA (73 nucleotides) under Nelumbo nucifera (sacred lotus). It matches the Rfam family "tRNA". From Rfam's summary of the family: Transfer RNA (tRNA) molecules are approximately 80 nucleotides in length. Their secondary structure includes four short double-helical elements and three loops (D, anti-codon, and T loops). The record is from Rfam by way of RNAcentral. Lineage: Eukaryota; Viridiplantae; Streptophyta; Magnoliopsida; Proteales; Nelumbonaceae.